GAUGAACGCUGGCGGCGUGCUUAACACAUGCAAGUCGAGCGAGAAGUUUUGAACAGAUUCUUCGGAUGAAAUUUAAAAUGGAAAGCGGCGGACGGGUGAGUAACGCGUAGGCAACCUGCCCCAUACAAAGGGAUAGCAUUUGGAAACGAAUAUUAAUACCUUAUGAAACUUAACUAGUGCAUGCUAGGUAGGUCAAAGAUUUAUCGGUCUGGGAUGGGCCUGCGUCUGAUUAGCUAGUUGGGGAGGUAGCGGCUCACCAAGGCGACGAGCAGUAGCCGACCUGGGAGGGUGAACUGCCACAUAGGAACUGAGACACGGGCCAAACUCCUACGGGAGGCAGCAGAGGGGAAUAUUGCACAAUGGGGGAAACCCUGAUACAGCAACGCCGCGUGAACGAGGAAGGCCUUUGGGUCGUAAAGUGCUGUUCUAGGUGAUGAAAACUGACAGUAACCGAGGAGAAAGCCCCGGCUAACUCCGUG
Molecule: ribosomal RNA, 479 nt
Filed under: uncultured bacterium
Lineage: Bacteria
Description: partial 16S ribosomal RNA
Rfam family: Bacterial small subunit ribosomal RNA
Source: RNAcentral